UACGUAGGUGGCGAGCGUUGUCCGGAUUUACUGGGCGUAAAGAGCGCGCAGGCGGUCGUACAAGUCGCGUGUGAAAGCCCCCGGCUCAACUGGGGAGGGUCACGCGAUACUGUUCGACUCGAAGGCAGGAGAGGGAAGUGGAAUUCCCGGUGUAGUGGUGAAAUGCGUAGAUAUCGGGAGGAACACCGGUGGCGAAGGCGGCAUCCUGGACCAAUAUUGACGCUGAGGAGCGAAAGCCAGGGGAGCAAACGGG
RNAcentral lists this ribosomal RNA (253 nucleotides) under uncultured bacterium. Its description in RNAcentral is "partial 16S ribosomal RNA". It matches the Rfam family "Bacterial small subunit ribosomal RNA", at positions 524 to 776 of the family's 1533-position model. The record is from RNAcentral.